UACGUAGGGUCCGAGCGUUAAUCGGAAUUACUGGGCGUAAAGCGUGCGCAGGCGGUUUUGUAAGCCAGAUAUGAAAGCCCCGGGCUCAACCUGGGAACUGCAUUUGGGACUGCAAGGCUGGAGUACGGCAGAGGGAGGUGGAAUCACGUGUAGCAGUGAAUGACGUAGAGAUGUGGAGGAACACGAUGGCGAAGGCAGCCUCCUGGGCUAGUACUGACGCUCAUGCACGAAAGCGUGGGGAGCAAACAGGGA
Molecule: ribosomal RNA, 252 nt
Filed under: uncultured bacterium
Lineage: Bacteria
Description: partial 16S ribosomal RNA
Rfam family: Bacterial small subunit ribosomal RNA
Source: RNAcentral